CUCCCUCCGUCGCAACCGCCAGCCGCCGCCACCCUCUCCGUCGCAGCCCCCCGACCCUCCGUCACGGGGAUCAUCGGGAGAGCCACAAAAUAUGAGUUGAAAGUCAUACAACGGUUCAAAUCAAAUUCAGUAUUUGGGAAUUUCUAUCUCCUAGUGGCUAAUCCAGGUGUACCCCUGUCAAAGGAAAAUACCAAGUCCUACCGGAUUUUUGUAUGUUCAGUACUGUCUGCUCACUGUCAAUAGAGCCGCAUGGCCAUGCAAAAGUGAAGAGCUUAUGCUAAUUUUAGUUGUUACAUAUGUAAAUAAGGUUGGAGGUUUUGACUGUAGAGGUAAGAAAUGGUUUCAACUUGUACUAAUUUUACUUGUCCAUUGAUUACAGAACUGCAGGAAAUGUGAGGAAUUACUUGGUUACUCUAACACAUGCUGGCUGUUCCAAGAAAUCUAAUUGUUAGUUUGCAUUUGAUAUGCAGGAAGAUAUGGCCCUUAGCUCAUUGCUGACAUGGAUACAUGAUCAACUCCCCAGUAUGUAUGACCAGUCUUCACAUGGUGUCUCUGAAUUUUGCUUAAAUGCAGCGUUCCUGCUUUGUUCAUAAGGACAGUUGGUCUCCGCUGCCAUUCAACUGUUGAUACAUCAACAUCUUUAGAGUCAGUCGCAUAUCGUUGGACAGAAGGAGGCAUUGAGAAAUCUGAAGGUAGUUUGAUAGUGUAGAUGGCCAAAGGUAAACCAAUACUUUAGCAUCAGCCAACAAGAGCGUACUAAGCUCUAUGCUGCCGAUCAGUUCUUCAUCCGACAGUGCGGCUUCAAGCAUGACAAAGUCAUUGAGAUCCCGAUAGUGGCAGCGAAGCGGAGGUUGCCCCUGGUGGCGAGGUGCAGUGCGGCGAACAUUCUGGCGGCAAGUUGCAGAGUUGAUUUCCACGAUGUGAACAGUCAAAAAUUAUAAGGUGAAGCCUGUAAUAUAUGAGGAUGGGGCACUAGUUAUCUUUAAUUAUGAGAAUGUGACCACAUCAUGUUCUUGUAGAAGAUACGAAUCCAAAGGUUUGUUGUGCAAGGAGGAUAUACAGACCUUCUACUUCAAAAUGAUUGACCGUCAUAGCUGCUGCACCCUUCGAUAAGAAUGGAUUUUGAUGUAGUGAAUCUCAGAAAAUGGAAGGAGUAGGCAUAGCAAUAAUUUUGAUCGUCCGGGGGAUCACCAGCAGAGUUACGGACCCGUCCCCUCCGUCGCUUGGAUCGCUGAUGCUGCAGCGACCAGGACAUCAUGAUGAGAUUGUCGAUGACUUGGCUGUCCUUAUGGAGUCGCCCGGUAACUGGUCACAUUGUGGUCCGCUCUAAAUGUUAUGUCUGAGUCUGCUCCCAAAGUUCAGUUUGUGUAUCUUUCUCACUGUUGUAAUGUUGUAAAGAGCUGUAUGUAUGUGAUGCUUCUGAAGCGUUUGUUUCGUGACUCAGUUGCAAAGAUACAAAAAGUAGAGCUAAAUAUGACAGCAUCAAAAGUUCCAGAUGUAAUUUAAAUUUUAUAUGAGGAUCUUAAUUGUUUGUGUGUGUUUCA
Long non-coding RNA from Lolium rigidum, 1544 nucleotides. RefSeq lists it as uncharacterized. Lineage: Eukaryota; Viridiplantae; Streptophyta; Magnoliopsida; Poales; Poaceae. The record is from RefSeq and is a predicted model, not a curated record. The transcript has 2 exons.